UCAGGACGAACGCUGGCGGCGUGCUUAACACAUGCAAGUCGAGCGGUAAGGCCUUUCGGGGUACACGAGCGGCGAACGGGUGAGUAACACGUGGGUGAUCUGCCCUGCACUUCGGGAUAAGCCUGGGAAACUGGGUCUAAUACCGGAUAUGACCUCCGGUUGCAUGACUUGGGGUGGAAAGAUUUAUCGGUGCAGGAUGGGCCCGCGGCCUAUCAGCUUGUUGGUGGGGUAAUGGCCUACCAAGGCGACGACGGGUAGCCGACCUGAGAGGGUGACCGGCCACACUGGGACUGAGACACGGCCCAGACUCCUACGGGAGGCAGCAGUGGGGAAUAUUGCACAAUGGGCGAAAGCCUGAUGCAGCGACGCCGCGUGAGGGAUGACGGCCUUCGGGUUGUAAACCUCUUUCAGCAGGGACGAAGCGCAAGUGACGGUACCUGCAGAAGAAGCACCGGCUAACUACGUGCCAGCA
RNAcentral lists this ribosomal RNA (472 nucleotides) under uncultured bacterium. Its description in RNAcentral is "bacterial SSU rRNA". It matches the Rfam family "Bacterial small subunit ribosomal RNA", at positions 24 to 513 of the family's 1533-position model. The record is from RNAcentral.